RNAcentral lists this ribosomal RNA (510 nucleotides) under uncultured bacterium. RNAcentral describes it as "partial 16S ribosomal RNA". It matches the Rfam family "Bacterial small subunit ribosomal RNA", at positions 28 to 507 of the family's 1533-position model. The record is from RNAcentral.
GACGAACGCUGGCGGCGUGCUUAACACAUGCAAGUCGAACGAAGAGCGAUGGAAGCUUGCUUCUAUCAAUCUUAGUGGCGAACGGGUGAGUAACGCGUAAUCAACCUGCCCUUCAGAGGGGGACAACAGUUGGAAACGACUGCUAAUACCGCAUACGAUCUAAUCUCGGCAUCGAGGAUAGAUGAAAGGAGGCCUCUACAUGUAAGCUAUCACUGAAGGAGGGGAUUGCGUCUGAUUAGCUAGUUGGAGGGGUAACGGCCCACCAAGGCGAUGAUCAGUAGCCGGUCUGAGAGGAUGAACGGCCACAUUGGGACUGAGACACGGCCCAGACUCCUACGGGAGGCAGCAGUGGGGAAUCUUCCGCAAUGGACGAAAGUCUGACGGAGCAACGCCGCGUGAGCGAUGACGGCCUUCGGGUUGUAAAGCUCUGUUAAUCGGGACGAAAGGCCUUCUUGCGAAUAGUGAGAAGGAUUGACGGUACCGGAAUAGAAAGCCACGGCUAACUACGUG